This 369-nucleotide ribosomal RNA is filed under the name uncultured soil bacterium. Its description in RNAcentral is "bacterial SSU rRNA". It matches the Rfam family "Bacterial small subunit ribosomal RNA", at positions 26 to 392 of the family's 1533-position model. The record is from RNAcentral.
AGGAUGAACGCUGGCGGCGUGCUUAACACAUGCAAGUCGAACGAUGAAGGCUGGAGCUUGCUCUGGCUGGAUUAGUGGCGAACGGGUGAGUAACACGUGAGUAACCUGCCCCAGACUCUGGGAUAAGCGCUGGAAACGGCGUCUAAUACCGGAUACGAGCUUCCACCGCAUGGUGAGGAGCUGGAAAGAAUUUCGGUCUGGGAUGGACUCGCGGCCUAUCAGCUUGUUGGUGAGGUAAUGGCUCACCAAGGCGACGACGGGUAGCCGGCCUGAGAGGGUGACCGGCCAACGACUGGGACUGAGACACGGCCCAGACUCUACGGGAGCAGCAGUGGGAAUAUUGCACAAUGGGCGCAAGCCCGAUGCAGC